Molecule: long non-coding RNA, 918 nt
Organism: Micropterus salmoides (largemouth bass)
Lineage: Eukaryota; Metazoa; Chordata; Actinopteri; Centrarchiformes; Centrarchidae
Exons: 3
Source: RefSeq, a predicted model, not a curated record
AAGUGCUAAGCUUUUUCUGGUUUUAUUUUACAUUUAAUGGACAUAUAUGUCUCAGCAGAAUCAUCAUUGCUACUCAGAUUUUUUUUAGAACUCCCCCAAAUCAAACUGUUUAACCAAUUGCUAUAAAUGGCAUGAAAGUUCAGAAAUUAAGGUACUAUAGUAAGAUAAUUUUGACUUUACAAAACAGAGCCAAUGAUUACACUGUCCAAAAUAUAGGAUGGAAUUAGGAUAUCAACAUAUCGGGAAGAAAGAUAAUAUAUAGAGGAGUGCUGGGCUGAACCCAUUAACAACUAUAUAUCUUUAUGCUUCACAUUAUCAGCUGAUGAAUCCAGAUAACAACAUGUAUUCAGACUUGAAGCAGGUGGUCAAUGGAAGUGCGUUUGUCUUAAUUGCAAGAAGUGGGACAAAACAAUCAUUUUGUGCCAUUGAUCUUAUGAAUAAGAGUGAUUCAUUCACAGUGAGAGCAGCAGAAGGCUGCUGCCCACGGGCAGGCUAAGUUAGUGGAGGAGGGAAUCCACUCAGCAGACAGUAGACUGACACAGGAAUAUGACAGGGGAUGCAUCAAAGCUGUCACAUACUUCCCUGUUUGACCCUGUGUGGCUAGAAAAUAGAAAUCUAUCUAGAAGAAUAUAGAAAUCUAUCUAGAAGAAGAUAGAAAUCUACCUUUUCUUGUAGCUCAUUUAUGCUCCAAUAACCUGAAACAACUGUGAACAAAUUGAAAACAAAAUGUAAAAUGUUCAGAUGCUAAGAGUGGGCAAAACUAAAGACUACUACAUUUAAAAAUAUAUUAAACAUAUGGUAUAAUCUCUUGGUGGUAGUCCUUCCCCAGGUAGGGACUGUACAAAAAUUACUGGGACAAAGGGUGGGGGGUUGAAUCAUAUGUUUUAGUUUUUACAUAAAGCAAUACCCUACCCAGAA